AUAACAUCCGGAAACGGGUGCUAAUACCGCAUAGUUUCUUGAUCGCAUGAUUGAGAAAGGAAAGACGGCCUUUGUGCUGGUCGCUUAUGGAUGGACCCGCGGCGUAUUAGUUAGUUGGUGAGGUAAUGGCUCACCAAGACGAUGAUACGUAGCCGACCUGAGACGGGUGAUCGGCCACAUUGGGACUGAGACACGGCCCAAACUCCUACGGGAGGCAGCAGUAGGGAAUCUUCCGCAAUGGACGAAAGUCUGACGGAGCAACGCCGCGUGAGUGAAAGAAGGUUUUCGGAUCGUAAAACUCUGUUGUCAGAGAAGAACAAGUUGGAGAGUAACUGCUCCAGCCUUGACGGUAUCUGACCAGAAAGCCACGGCUAACUACGUGCCAGCCGCCGC
This 393-nucleotide ribosomal RNA is filed under the name uncultured bacterium. Its description in RNAcentral is "bacterial SSU rRNA". It matches the Rfam family "Bacterial small subunit ribosomal RNA", at positions 143 to 518 of the family's 1533-position model. The record is from RNAcentral.